GAGGGGCAGAGAGAGAGGGAGACACAGAAUCUGAAGCAGGCUCCAGGCUCUGAGCUGUCAGCACAGAGCCCGAUGCGGGGCUCGAACCCACGAACUGCGAGAUCAUGAC
Long non-coding RNA from Hyaena hyaena (striped hyena), 109 nucleotides. RefSeq lists it as uncharacterized. The transcript has 3 exons. NCBI's taxonomy places the organism in Eukaryota, Metazoa, Chordata, Mammalia, Carnivora, Hyaenidae. The record is from RefSeq and is a predicted model, not a curated record.